AGUAUAGCUCAGUGGUAGAGUAUUUGGCUAGCAGGCAUGAAACCCUGGGUUCAAUCUCCAGUACU
This 65-nucleotide transfer RNA is filed under the name Heterocephalus glaber (naked mole-rat). It matches the Rfam family "tRNA". From Rfam's summary of the family: Transfer RNA (tRNA) molecules are approximately 80 nucleotides in length. Their secondary structure includes four short double-helical elements and three loops (D, anti-codon, and T loops). The record is from Rfam by way of RNAcentral. Lineage: Eukaryota; Metazoa; Chordata; Mammalia; Rodentia; Bathyergidae.